RNAcentral lists this ribosomal RNA (482 nucleotides) under uncultured bacterium. RNAcentral describes it as "partial 16S ribosomal RNA". It matches the Rfam family "Bacterial small subunit ribosomal RNA", at positions 30 to 506 of the family's 1533-position model. The record is from RNAcentral.
UUGAACGCUGGCGGCCGGCCUCACCCCUGCCAGUCGAGCGGAUGAAGGGAGCUUGCUCCUGGAUUCAGCGGCGGACGGGUGAGUAAUGCCUAGGAAUCUGCCUGGUAGUGGGGGAUAACGUCCGGAAACGGGCGCUAAUACCGCAUACGUCCUGAGGGAGAAAGUGGGGGAUCUUCGGACCUCACGCUAUCAGAUGAGCCUAGGUCGGAUUAGCUAGUUGGUGGGGUAAAGGCCUACCAAGGCGACGAUCCGUAACUGGUCUGAGAGGAUGAUCAGUCACACUGGAACUGAGACACGGUCCAGACUCCUACGGGAGGCAGCAGUGGGGAAUAUUGGACAAUGGGCGAAAGCCUGAUCCAGCCAUGCCGCGUGUGUGAAGAAGGUCUUCGGAUUGUAAAGCACUUUAAGUUGGGAGGAAGGGCAGUAAGUUAAUACCUUGCUGUUCUGACGUUACCAACAGAAUAAGCACCGGCUAACUGCGU